GAGUUUGAGUCCUGGCGUCACGGAUGAACGCUGGCGGCGUGCUUAACACAUGCAAGUCGAACGGUGAACACGGAGCUUGCUCUGUGGGAUCAGUGGCGAACGGGUGAGUAACACGUGAGCAACCUGACCCCUGACUCUGGGAUAAGCGCUGGAAACGGCGUCUAAGUACUGGAUACGGAACCAUGAAGGCAUCGUUCAGUCGGUUGGAAAGAAGUUUCGGUUCGGGGAUGGGCUCGCGGCCUAUCAGCUUGUUGGUGAGGUAAUGGCUCACCAAGGCGUCGACGGGUAGCCGGCCUGAGAGGGUGACCGGCCACACUGGGACUGAGACACGGCCCAGACUCCUACGGGAGGCAGCAGUGGGGAAUAGUUGCACAAUGGGGCGCAAGCCUGAUGCAGCAACGCCGCGUGAGGGAUGACGGCCUUCGGGUUGUAAACCUCUUUUAGCAGGGAAGAAGCGAAAGUGACGGUACCUGCAGAAAAAGCGCCGGCUAACUACGUG
This 499-nucleotide ribosomal RNA is filed under the name uncultured Microbacteriaceae bacterium. RNAcentral's name for it is "bacterial SSU rRNA". It matches the Rfam family "Bacterial small subunit ribosomal RNA", at positions 9 to 507 of the family's 1533-position model. The record is from RNAcentral. Lineage: Bacteria; Bacillati; Actinomycetota; Actinomycetes; Micrococcales; Microbacteriaceae.